RNAcentral lists this ribosomal RNA (253 nucleotides) under uncultured bacterium. RNAcentral describes it as "partial 16S ribosomal RNA". It matches the Rfam family "Bacterial small subunit ribosomal RNA", at positions 524 to 776 of the family's 1533-position model. The record is from RNAcentral.
UACGUAGGGGGCAAGCGUUGUCCGGAAUCAUUGGGCGUAAAGAGCACGUAGGCGGCCUGUCAAGUCGGAUGUGAAAACCCGCGGCUCAACCACGGGACUGCAUUCGAAACUGGCAGGCUAGAGUCCAGUAGAGGAAAGUGGAAUUCCCAGUGUAGCGGUGAAAUGCGCAGAUAUUGGGAAGAACACCGGUGGCGAAGGCGGCUUUCUGGGCUGUGACUGACGCUGAGGCGCGAAAGCUAGGGGAGCAAACGGG